Molecule: transfer RNA, 67 nt
Filed under: Jatropha curcas
Lineage: Eukaryota; Viridiplantae; Streptophyta; Magnoliopsida; Malpighiales; Euphorbiaceae
Rfam family: tRNA (bases 9-67)
About the family: Transfer RNA (tRNA) molecules are approximately 80 nucleotides in length. Their secondary structure includes four short double-helical elements and three loops (D, anti-codon, and T loops). Further hydrogen bonds mediate the characteristic L-shaped molecular structure. tRNAs have two regions of fundamental functional importance: the anti-codon, which is responsible for specific mRNA codon recognition, and the 3' end, to which the tRNAs corresponding amino acid is attached (by aminoacyl-tRNA synthetases). tRNAs cope with the degeneracy of the genetic code in two manners: having more than one tRNA (with a specific anti-codon) for a particular amino acid; and 'wobble' base-pairing, i.e. permitting non-standard base-pairing at the 3rd anti-codon position.
Source: Rfam by way of RNAcentral
UGAAUCAGUUGACUAUAAACCCUAGCCUUCCAAGCUAGCGAUGCGGGCUCGAUUCCCGCUAGUUCAA